Lutra lutra (Eurasian river otter) is the source of this 6467-nucleotide long non-coding RNA. RefSeq lists it as uncharacterized. The transcript has 2 exons. Lineage: Eukaryota; Metazoa; Chordata; Mammalia; Carnivora; Mustelidae. The record is from RefSeq and is a predicted model, not a curated record.
UGCCAACUGCACAAAGAAGAAGGGAUAAACACGUUCAGGGAAAUCUGGGACCGGAGAGGUGGGGAAAGGGGAAGAGAGAGGGAAGGAAGAACAAACUGGGAAACGUCCUCCCCUGUGGCUCAUGGGCCUUAUGGUGUCAGGCAAACAUUACAGACAUGACCAGUUGGAGAAAGGGGACGUGGAAGAGAGGGAGAGGAAAGUGGCAUCCAUUCAGGUGUCACUCUACCUGUCCACGAGUCUGCUUAUUCUCAGCCCGUGACUCCCCUUACCUAGAAGACUCAUUCCUUUCUAGAAUCUCUAUCUUUCAACCCUUGUAGUGACAACUCCUCCCCCUCAUUCCCAACCCACGGAAGGCCAUGCUAUAAACCAGCACCACCUUAUCAACACUAUGACCGUCUGCUGUCUAAUAUGAUUAUCAUGUGAUAUUAGUGAUCAACCUUAGCAAUGCUCUUAAUAAUGUGGACAACGCUGCUUUGUGGUAAGUGGACAUCACUUCAUGUCUUCGUGUAGACUUAUGCCUGUGUCACCUUGUACCAUCUUCCCAGGACACACCUUUACUAGGCCCACACUUUAACUGAUAGAAGAGUGUCAGAGGUAUCACCUUGGACUUCUCAUUCCAUAUGCCCCCUUAUGCUCUCCACUCUUUGCAAACCUCACAGGAUGACAAAGCCUAUUACCCCCUAUGUUACUCAGUGGCUCUCUACAUCCUCCUGGCUUUUCCUCUAGGCAGUGUGUCAUUGGCUCUGUCCUGAAGUUAUGAGACCCGUGGUAAGAUCCCUUCUCCUCUAAGGUUGCUGUGCCUUCUUUAUUUUUGUUUAUUAACCCUUAAGAGACACUGGAGGUGUUCUUUUUGUCUCCUUGUUUUUAGUUAAAAAAUUAGGACUCCCCUCAGGAGGGGAUCCCAAGGGAAUAUAACCAUGUAGGAGGCGACAAAAAUGGAAAAUCACUGACGUCUGUCUGGGCAACGGCACACAAAGAGUAAAAGUUUCUGAGCAGAAGUCACAUGUGGAGUUCCCGCAGAGAACAGAAAAAGCAAUGUUUAUCUCAUUUUGACUUCUAAAUGCUGUGUUACAAGGCCUCCCCCACCCCGUGCUUUAAAAACCAUCAAGACGAUCAUCACCUUAAGGUUUGCAAUCCAUGCAGAGAAUCUGAUACAAAUGACCAUUACAAAUGACCCUUUGAAAGCCCAGUCGACAGGUUUUAAAGGACAUGACAGUCUUGGCCGGGGAAAGGGUUAGACUGGAUAAGACUUAGCUCACAUCGCUGUUCUGUUGCUGACCGUACCACUCAAUGGCAUAGCUCGAGUUUGGCCUUUGUGUACAGAAGGGGCACCCGCCCUAGAGGUGGGGUCCUCGCUAAGGGAAGCUGGGAUCUGGCAGAGUGCUGUGGGUGCAGAAAAAGAUUCAGACAUACAUGUGACAUCCACGUGAACUACAGAGGAGGACAAUCCUAAGGGAGGUAUCAGCAGCCCUCCUGCUCCCAUCCGCUCAACACAUCUACUCUGCGCUCUCUAAAUAAAGGAAUCAACAGCUCAAGGACUUGAUGAAUACCGAACGAAACACCUCAUCUCAAAAUCCGUAAGCUUCCUUUCGGGUAAGUCACACGCUCUUCUCUUUGCUAAUCGGGGUGGGUGGGAUCCCUGACAAAUGCAAAAUGAAAAGCUGAAUCUCUUCACAGUGAAUAAUACACCCAAGACCUCAGGACUUUUACUUUUCACCCAUUCAAAAGCAACAUAGUCAUGAAGGAAAACAAAGAGGUGUAAAGCUCUACUACCCUAAAGGUCUGCACGUGAAUGUAUGGUAUUCUUUUCUAUCAUCCCUCCCUCCUGCAUCCACCAUCUCAUUUCAUAGCCCUGGGUAUAAGCGUGCAUUUCUGUUCUGCCAAUGGUGGAUAAUGUCACCUUAAUGUUCUGUAAAUGUCAAGGGUUCCUUCUUUUUGAUGGUGGAGCAAUAUAAAAAUCAACAAAUUUAAUUUUACUACAGUCACGGUUUUCAGAUUUCCUAAUUACCCUUGGCCAUGAGCAGAUCAGCUCAUCUCUCUAUUCUGUAUAGCCCCCAAGGUCUUUGAUUAUUUUUAGUGUGUAUAUGGGGGAGACAGAAAGGUGGUUUGAAUCAAUUAAUCAAAAUGCACGGCAGGACCUAGCAGUUUUUUUUUUUUUUUUAAAUUAUGAAAGUAAUCAAUCAACUGCUUAGACACCAUCUCCCUCCCUUUCCCUUCGACACUGCUGAUGGGGACCGGGGCACGGAGACUAAGUGAUCUACUGUAUUAAGAAAAAAAUUUAAAUGGAGCUAAGUACACUCUCUUCAGAGCAUGAUCAUAAACUAGGAAACAGAGACCUUAGUAACCAGAAAUACAAAAUACUGAGAUAAUUCCAUUUGGCUUGACUACCUACACAAACAAAAAAGAAUUAAGAAUCCUGGACCACUAGGUUGUGUCUACACUACUUCUACGUCGCUAUUCCCUUGGCUUUAUAAAAAAGUAAAGAUAAGGGGAAUUAUUCUACAUGGCAACAGAACUGAGGGGAAGAGGGAGAAAGAAAGAAAGAAAAAAAAAAAAAAACAAAAAACCCACAUUAUUUUUCCCUAUGAUAAACCAGAAGCACAUGAAAAGCUCCACGGAAGCAAACUUUUCAGCGAGGCUGAAAUAAACGUAAGCUGUAAGGUGUGUUUUCUUGAAAUGAUUUUUAAAAGAGUUAUGCUGGGAAUAUUCAGUUAGAUUAAAAAAAAUUCAUAAAAAUUCUUGGAAUCAUUCAUGGUUAUCCAUACAGUAUAUUGAAUAUAGCUUAAUGAAAACAUUUAUCAUAGCAACCCUAAGCCAUAUCCACGUUUCAUUUAAAAAAAAAAAAAGCAUAAAUGCACACUUCUCUGUGGAAGGAUAUGCUGUGCAAAUAGUUGUUGUAAACCAAGUAAUAUUUUAAGUGCUCUUGGCUGGGUCUGAGCGAAAUGCAAGUUUGAUCACCUAAUGACACAGUAAGCCUUUUAAAGUCCUUUGAAGAUACUGUCUCUGCUGUCAGGAAUGUUAUGUUACACAAAAGUGACACUGUAAAGCACUCUCCAAGAAAAGCCCAAUCUCCCUGGACUGCCUCACCAACAGUGACCCAUGUUUGUGGAGUUUUGGUAGGACUGGAAUGGUAACUUGUGCCUGCAGCAGGAUCCUUUCAUAUGUGCAUGAAACACCAAUUUGAAUUGUGUUGGUAUUUCUCACUCUCUCCUCCUCCUCUUUGUCCUAGAUGCAUGGAGAUCACCUGGGAAUCUCACAGAAUAAGUAUCUUGCUGUGCUAAGAGUCUAGUGUGGAUACAUGGAAGUUAUCUGGCACAACAUGGCCCCAUGACCAAAACCAACUCUUUCCAAGAAACCACCACCCACUGCAACACCGGAAGGAAAGCUGCCUUUUAUAGUGUAACUUCUGGGUGACUGAAGCCAUGUUUGAGGGUAAUUUUGAACAUGUCACUGUCUGAUACAGUUCCUGAUUCCCAACUUUGACUUACACACCACUGUGUGAGACCCGCUUUUGCAUCAACAAUAGAAAACACAACACGGUCCUAGGGUGUUCUGACUGCCAUCCGAGAGCCCCAUUGAAGCCCAGCUGUGAAAGCGAAGGCUGGCUCUUGGGCCAAACUGAAGUGAGGAGGGUUCACUCUCUGGCCACGUGGUCGGGAGGGGUGACCUCAGUUCAUAAGAGCUGAUGCCCCCGAGUCCUAGACUUGGGGCCUAGGAGGGAGCAGAGUGGCACAGAACAGCCAUCAUCACCGCCUAAGGAGGCCGCCUGGGAUUCCAACCCUGGCCCUGACCCCUCCAGCUGGCGGAUACUGGGUGGACGGCAGGCAGCACGUCCAGGUGCUUACCCGACAGUGUGGAGCUGCUGAUGGUACUGGCUGGCGUGGUGACCUCGGGCUCCUCCUGAGUGCACUCUGCAGGAGGAAGGGAUGGCUUUUCUGGCUCCUCGGGCAGGUCUCUGGGGCAGGGAGCAGCUUCAUCUUUCUCUGCCUCUGUUGAAAUAGCCAGUUUGGGAAGUGGGCCAGAACUGAGUUUAUGUCUGUUGCUUUCAGUAUCUGAAGAGUUGGAUGUGGAUAACUGUUGCCUUAAUUAAAAACAAAACAGAGGCAUGUAUGCAUACACACUAGGAAACUGUGUUCGAGGAGACUCUGGGAAGAAAUGAGGUAAAAAUUGAACUGAGGGCAUGCUAACCAACGCGUGUCUAGUGCAGUGGUUCUUACAGCACAAUCCCCAGACUGGACGCAACAGCAUCUCCUGGACCUUAGGCCAAAGGCAUGUUCCCGGCCUCCAUCCCCGAUUUAGGGGAGCAGACAUGCUGGGACGGGCCCAGCCAUCUGUGUUCUCACAGGGUUUCCAGGAGAUUCCAAUGCCCGCUCAGCCUGAAGAACCACUGCACUCAUAGUGACCGCUUACGACCCUUAACAGGCAUUUCACGUACAUUUCAGAAUAUUCCGAACUCCAGCUGAACGUCUCUGUGGACGGCAACACAGUGCUUUUGGUCUUGUCUCCAGGGUCUUCCUUCUCUUCUCCAGAAUUCUGAGUUAUUCGGUCUAUGCUGCUGAAAACCUGUGAGGCCAAGUGUUGGGGUUUAUUACAACCUUUUUGAAAGAGCUUGUCAGAAAAACCCCAAACUUGGGGAGAAAAUCUGAGAGCACGACUAAAGUUUCAGCUGGGACUGUGUAUUCAGAAGGUACUUUCCGAUGCUAUUUACAUGAGUCCUGAGAUGAAUGGGCUGUGGAUCUAUUUUUUUCUCCUUGGAGUGGGGAGUUAUGAAGUCAUCACCCUCUCGCCCUAUCUCAUUAUGGACUUUGCAUCUGCAAACACAGUCCACAGAUGCUUUGGGGUUUCUAAGUCCUGGGAUCAAUGCACAACUUACAUGACUUUUUAACCAUGAAGUCUAUCAGAAAAAGAAAAUCACAGAGAAAAAGAUUUAACGACCACCAGUCAGGAGCGGGAAGGAGAGAAAUGAAUUGGAAUUGAGUGUGAAGAGAAGAAUAAAUUACCUGGUUCAAGAUGUAUGUGUGGGGGAAGGCAGUGCACGUUUGGUUCUGAGUCAGAGGGGUUUGUCUGGAUUAUAAAUCACAUGCACACACGGGCAGUUUCCUAAGAUGGGACCGGUGUUUCUGAAGGGGAGCAGAGCUUAGGGAGACCUGAGAUCUCUGCUGUCCCACAGGAAAGAUGGAGAGAAAAACUGGGAGCAGAAAGCCCAGGGCAGGAAGCACUCCCCACCAUGCAACACAGACCCUUGCUGCUCUCAUGGGAGUGGCCCUUAGAUGGCAUAUCAUGUACUGUGGUGAGGCCCAGGGUGACUAACACACAGGAGACAGCGGGAAGGGAACAGAGUCUAGGGCCCAGCUUGGAUGGGCCAGAGCACAGGCACGGAGGAAAGCCUGUGCUCAGGGUAAGCAAAGCUUCAGUUCUGGCUCUGGACGGACUGGCCAGCAGACCCUGCAAGGAGACCCCUACCUCUCCAUGGCCUUCCUUUAAACAGUGAAGGCAGUGCCGGCCCAUUUGCAGAUAUGCUCUAUCUUUCUAUCUAGUAGUCAUGUACAAAAACGGACACUUCAUAAGCCCUACAUGGUACAGAAGAUCUGAACAAUCAACACGCAAAACGCCAUGGCAACAGGGAUUGCAUAGUUACUGAAAAGCACAAAAGGGAGAAGGGGGCCCUCCAGAAGCCCUUCCAUUUUCCUAGGGCCCUGUCUGGUCUCAGGGCCAGAUUUCUUUGUCCAAUUUCUUUGUGAGUGGUAAGAAUUUUUUUCACAUUACCACUCUCGGUAAGAAGUAUCCUUGUCGGACAUUGAUUUUAUUACCUUCUCCCAUUUCCAAAACUCUAACUUGGCUUUAUCUGGCCUCUGUCAUGUAACUUAACAUUUUCUAUUACUGACUACAAGACUUUCCCAUUCCACAGCAACUAUCCCCAAGGGUCCUAGCUGAUGUCAAGGACUCUGACUGCUCCCUUGUGUUGUAUUCUUGUGAUAGUAAGAGGGGGCUGUAUACACAAGGACUCUAGCUCAACGUUCUUCAAUGAAGCAUCAGAGAAGUGGGAGAUUCCUCUACUGCCUGGCACCAAACUAGACUCGGUCCUGCAGGGUGAGGUCUGCAUAUAUAUGGCUAUGGUGUUCUCUGAAGAUAGUACUCCAAGUCCAAAUCUGGGCCUCCAAAAAAACCCAUACCCAUCUAUGGAGAGUGUGACAAACUGGUGGGAACUCUGGAUUAUCAGGAUGGUGGGGUCAUUCACUUUUCCGAAACUCCAAGGAAUUUUAAGUAUAGGAGACCCCAAGCCCAAAAAUGCUAUAGGUGGUUUUUAUGAUCUUGUCCAGCUGUUUAGGGAUGCCCACUAUCGGGUCUGAGGGAGAUUCUCUGGGGAGACCCUGCAUGUUUAUGCCACAUUUCACUUACUUUUGAAAACCUGUGUGAACAGGAGGAAAACUGCCUUAUUUCCACAUUAAAGUCUUCAUCAUUUGUGU